This 301-nucleotide ribosomal RNA is filed under the name uncultured bacterium. RNAcentral describes it as "partial 16S ribosomal RNA". It matches the Rfam family "Bacterial small subunit ribosomal RNA", at positions 509 to 807 of the family's 1533-position model. The record is from RNAcentral.
CAGCCGCCGCGGGAAUACAGAGGAUGCAAGCGUUAUCCGGAAUGAUUGGGCGUAAAGCGUCUGUAGGUGGCUUUUCAAGUCCGCCGUCAAAUCCCAGGGCUCAACCCUGGACAGGCGGUGGAAACUACCAAGCUGGAGUACGGUAGGGGCAGAGGGAAUUUCCGGUGGAGCAGUGAAAUGCGUAGAUAUGCGGAGGAACACCGAUGGCGAAGGCAAUCCCCUGGGCCUGCACUGACGCUCAUGCACGAAAGCGUGGGGAGCAAACAGGAUUAGAUACCCGGGUAGUCCCUGUCUCUUAUAC